GAUGAAGAACGUAGCAAAAUGCGAUAAGUAAUGUGAAUUGCAGAAUUCAGUGAAUCAUCGAAUCUUUGAACGCACAUUGCGCCCGCCAGUAUUCUGGCGGGCAUGCCUGUUCGAGCGUCAUUUCAACCCUCAAGCACAGCUUGGUGUUGGGACUCGCGUUAAUUCGCGUUCCUCAAAUUGAUUGGCGGUCACGUCGAGCUUCCAUAGCGUAGUAGUAAAACCCUCGUUACUGGUAAUCGUCGGCCACGCCGUUAAACCCCAACUUCUGAAUGUUGACCUCGGAUCAGGUAGGAAUACCCGCUGAACUUAAGCAUAUCAAUAAGCGGAGGA
RNAcentral lists this unclassified non-coding RNA (330 nucleotides) under soil metagenome. Its description in RNAcentral is "partial contains 5.8S ribosomal RNA, internal transcribed spacer 2, and large subunit ribosomal RNA". The stretch from base 1 to 120 matches the Rfam family "5.8S ribosomal RNA", at positions 35 to 154 of the family's 154-position model. The record is from RNAcentral.